AGCGGAGCGGGGCGAGGGAGAGGGGCGAGCGGCCGCGCUGGGAGUAGGCCUGUGCCACUUUAGACAGUUACGUUUGUGAGGGUCUUGGCCCAGGAACGCCUGCUGCUCUGAGAGCGUACUGCCUUCUAGAAGUCUGGGGAAUUUCUUCCGUCACCAGACCGACAGGACCUCCGCAGGGAGAUUACUGUCCAGUGAGCGCCAGAGAAAGCCUGCUGACACUAGGGCUUUGGGUGGAGGAGGUAGGGUUCCUGGGAAUUGAAUCCAGGGCCUUCUCUCUGAGCUACGUCCCCACCUCCCCAUUCCCACUUUUUUUAUUUUUUAGACAGAAUCUUGUUAAAUUGCCAAAUUGCCCCAGCUGAAUUCGAACUUCGAUUCUCCCUACCUCACGCUCGGCUGUUUGUCACUUUCAGCUGGUGACAACUGCACUGGACACAGGACUGGGAGGAGACCAUUAAGUUUGCUUGGAACCGAGUGAUGCACCAGGUUUAGUGCUAAAACCCUGGAAAUCCUAGGCAAAACGCUGAACUUCAGAAUCCCAUCCAGUUUCUGACAUGCCUGGGGCAAUUUCGAGGGAUACUCUAGUAUAGAGCCUGGAUGGGAUGAAAGACAAAGGAAGGUUUGCUGCUGCUCUUGCCUUCCUGCCUGCCACACCUCGGACUGUUUCUCCUCUGCAAUGCCACUCUGCCUAUGCCACCCUGCCUUGGAGCCACCUAACUAUGGACUGAAAUCUCUACAAACUCACUCAGGAGGCUAAGGCAGGAGAAUCACCUCGAGCUCGAGGCCAGCCUGCACUACAUAGCAAAACCCUGUCUCAAGAAAAGAGGAAAAAAGAGGACCUCAUGCAUUGUUAGAAGAGCAGCCACAGAGACACCAUUAUUUCAACUCACCCAGGUAGCAUCACUGAAAAAUGAAUAAGGAGUUUCAUGAAACAACCGUGGUUCUGCAGAAUAAAAAAGUAAAGCACAAGAAAGAAGCUCAUUUUCUUCCUGGUCCUAGGAUUGUCAGACAGCAUGUCUCCGGGCACAUACCCAUUCAGGCGCUGGUCUCAGAAGACAGAGAGGAAUUCGAGCCCUUGAAAGUUAAUCAGAGAGUGAUGGAAAGGCCUGAUACCAGUAUGUCACUCCCCACUUCAGUGUGCAGACCUCAAACUUACCCAGUGUCCCUUCUCUGAAGCCCUUCAGCCGAAAAAUAGAAAUG
Molecule: long non-coding RNA, 1197 nt
Filed under: Heterocephalus glaber (naked mole-rat)
Lineage: Eukaryota; Metazoa; Chordata; Mammalia; Rodentia; Bathyergidae
Description: lncRNA (ENSHGLG00100046480.1)
Source: RNAcentral